This 425-nucleotide ribosomal RNA is filed under the name uncultured prokaryote. RNAcentral's name for it is "bacterial SSU rRNA". It matches the Rfam family "Bacterial small subunit ribosomal RNA", at positions 355 to 796 of the family's 1533-position model. The record is from RNAcentral.
UGGGGAAUCUUGGACAAUGGGGGCAACCCUGAUGCAGCGACGCCGCGUGGGGGAUGAAGGCCCUAGGGUCGUAAACCCCUUUCAGUGGGGACGAAAAUGACGGUACCCACAGAAGAAGGUCCGGCCAACUACGUGCCAGCAGCCGCGGUAAGACGUAGGGACCGAGCGUUGUCCGGAAUUAUUGGGCGUAAAGAGCUCGUAGGCGGUUGCGUAAGUCGGAUGUGAAAGCUCAGGGCUCAACCCUGAGACGCCAUCCGAUACUGCGCUGACUUGAAUCCAGUAGGGGAGUGUGGAAUUCCUGGUGUAGCGGUGAAAUGCGCAGAUAUCAGGAGGAACACCUAUGGCGAAGGCAGCACUCUGGGCUGGUAUUGACGCUGAGGAGCGAAAGCAUGGGUAGCAAACAGGAUUAGAUACCCCCGUAGUCC